RNAcentral lists this long non-coding RNA (285 nucleotides) under Vitis vinifera (wine grape). Its description in RNAcentral is "long non-coding RNA (VVIN_LNC000871)". Lineage: Eukaryota; Viridiplantae; Streptophyta; Magnoliopsida; Vitales; Vitaceae. The record is from RNAcentral.
GAAGAGUCAGAACUGACUAGAGGGAGAGUAAGAAGCACCACCACAGUUGAAGGGAUGAGCUAUGGCUUCCACCGCCUCCGCUCUCACCACCACCACCUCCUCCUCCAAUGUCGCCACCCCUUUUCUGUAUCUCCGCCGCACUCAUAUCUCCCACUUCACCUCUAAUUUCAGGUAUAUUUCACCUCUAAAUCCAAAACCCCAUUGUUGGAUUUUUGGUCCUCACAGCCAUUAUGUGUCUUUCAGACUGUUUCAAGCUCGAAGAUUCAGUUUUAGUGUUUGUUUCCC